Molecule: ribosomal RNA, 505 nt
Filed under: Chrysolina hyperici
Lineage: Eukaryota; Metazoa; Arthropoda; Insecta; Coleoptera; Chrysomelidae
Description: partial 12S small subunit ribosomal RNA
Source: RNAcentral
AAAUAAUAUAAUUUAAUUUCUUUAGUAUUAAUUAAUUUAUAAUAAAAUAAUUUUAAAUUAAAAUUUAUUAGGUGAAAUUUAUAAAUUUUAUAUAAAAUUUAUUAUUUUUUAAUGAAGUUAAAAAAUUUAAUUAAUAAACUAGGAUUAGAUACCCUAUUAUUUUAAAUGUAUUUUUUAUACUAAAUUAGUAUUAGUUAUGUUCUUGAAAAUUAAAAAUUUUGGCGGUAUUUUAGUCUAUUCAGAGGAACUUGUCCUAUAAUUGAUAAUCCACGAUUUUAUUUACUUUUUUUAUUAGUUUGUAUAUCGUCGUAAUUUGAAUAUUUUAUAAGAAUAAUAAUAUUCAAGAUUUUGUAUAAGAAAGUAAAUCAGAUCAAGGUGCAGUUUAUAAAAAAGAAGAGAUGAGUUACAAUAAAAUAAUUAUUAGGAUUAUUAUUUAUAAAGUAAUAUGAAUUUGGAUUUGAAAGUAAAUUUAAUAAAUUAAUUAAAUUGAUUUUAGCUCUAAAAU